UACGUAGGGGGCUAGCGUUGUCCGGAAUCAUUGGGCGUAAAGAGCGUGUAGGCGGUCCGGUAAGUCCGCUGUGAAAGUCGGGGGGCUCAACCCUCGAAUGCCGGUGGAUACUGUCGGGCUAGAGUGCGGAAGAGGCGAGUGGAAUUCCUGGUGUAGCGGUGAAAUGCGCAGAUAUCAGGAGGAACACCUAUUGCGAAGGCAGCUCGCUGGGACGGUAACUGACGCUGAGACGCGAAAGCGUGGGGAGGCAAACAGG
Molecule: ribosomal RNA, 256 nt
Filed under: uncultured bacterium
Lineage: Bacteria
Description: partial 16S ribosomal RNA
Rfam family: Bacterial small subunit ribosomal RNA
Source: RNAcentral